CUUGCACUUGCGAGUCACUUUUGUGUUGUCGUUUAUCUCCGUCUGUAAGUGGACUUGUUACUGGAAAAGAUGGAAACUUUUGAAUUUUAUAACGUCUUGGAAGAUGUGUCGCCUGAAAAUUUUAACUCCAGUCGAAUGAAGAGGGAGCGAAAUGAAAUGCGACGUGUGUCUGUGAACUUUAUAAUGGACAUGUACAGCUUUUUGAUGCCCAGUGGUAACCAGCCUACCAUGUGGCUCAACAGAUGCCAGUGUACCUGAAUACUGAGACACAAUUAGAUGUUCUUUUCUUCUGCUUUUAAGAUUCCCAGUUCGGGAUGAUGUGCAGUUCAUGUUAGAUUUGUUAUUUCUACAGUUACAGUGAAGUAGAAGAGUCCGGUCAUGUUAUGGGGCAGCAGUUGAAGAAGAAGGAUGGAGAGAUGUGUGCCUUGUUGAAGUAUUGGCUGGUCCUCCUGCCCGCUCUUCUAGAAUCCUCCAUCUAAACCUUUGCUCUGAUCUGCUGUGCCUUUGCCAAGUGAUCACGAGAUCAACCAUAAAAACCAGCAGCUUUCUGUACUCGUGCAACAAAAUCUGGAAUGGUUUGCCAAUAGAGAAGUGCCAGGCUACAAAUGUCAAGCAUUUCGAAAAACUUCAACAAGCCCACUUUUCUAAUUUGGCUUUUUCUUAAUUACUUGCAUUGUUUAUUGCAGUGGUGCCCCCCUGCAUCUCCACCAUCUGUUACAUCAACUCCAACUUCCUGUGACAGAAGAAAAGUUCACAAGACGUCCUGAAAUGGAAUUGUGAUUGGAGUGAGACGGCCACAAUCAUGUAUGCUGGGAUGUGCAGAGGGGGCUGUUUGGGCUUUGGCUUGGGACCCCCAGAGGUUUAUUAUCUCCAGUGUCCUUGAAGGCUGCAAGUUUGUCUUUGUCCCCAGCCAUUUGACCAGGCAGUGCAUUUAUUACAAAGGACAAGGACCCCUCCAUAUGCUUCUUAUUUACUUUUAUAAUAUUUUCAGUUUUCUUUGUAACUGUAUAUCUUUGUGGAGCAAUUUGAGCAACACUUGUAAGCAAAGGUGAUAUAAAAAUAUUAUCAGUGAACAAAUAUUAGAGGACAGAUCAGGAAAAAUGUCAGUUUAAAUAGAACACAUUUUUUAUGGAAUAUUGCUGGAUAACAACUCUUUGACUCUGAGUAGCAUCUUGUUCAUAAAGGUAAAAUAGCAUUUUUCCUUUUUUGAUAAAUUUAAUGAUUCACUCUUAUUGUGUUCAAAACCUUGACUAACAUUUUUUUUUUUAAAUACUAAGGUAAAAAUCUGUAAAUAUAUUUGUGUUCUCCUUCCCUAAUAGUUAACACCUCCCCAAGUUG
Long non-coding RNA from Erpetoichthys calabaricus (reedfish), 1338 nucleotides. RefSeq lists it as uncharacterized. Lineage: Eukaryota; Metazoa; Chordata; Cladistia; Polypteriformes; Polypteridae. The transcript has 5 exons. The record is from RefSeq and is a predicted model, not a curated record.